UACGGGGGGGGCAAGCGUUGUUCGGAAUUACUGGGCGUAAAGGGCUCGUAGGCGGCCAACUAAGUCAGACGUGAAAUCCCUCGGCUUAACCGGGGAACUGCGUCUGAUACUGGAUGGCUUGAGGUUGGGAGAGGGAUGCGGAAUUCCAGGUGUAGCGGUGAAAUGCGUAGAGAUGUGGAGGAACACCAGUGGCGAAGGCGACUCUUUGGCCUGUAACUGACGCUGAGGCGCGAAAGCGUGGGGAGCAAACAGG
RNAcentral lists this ribosomal RNA (253 nucleotides) under uncultured bacterium. Its description in RNAcentral is "partial 16S ribosomal RNA". It matches the Rfam family "Bacterial small subunit ribosomal RNA", at positions 524 to 776 of the family's 1533-position model. The record is from RNAcentral.